GCCUGGUUAGCUCAGUCGGUAGAGCAUUUGACUCUUAAAAUCAUAAGGUCAAUCAAACGGUCGCGGGUUCGAGCCCCGCAUCGGGCU
RNAcentral lists this transfer RNA (87 nucleotides) under Metschnikowia bicuspidata. It matches the Rfam family "tRNA". From Rfam's summary of the family: Transfer RNA (tRNA) molecules are approximately 80 nucleotides in length. Their secondary structure includes four short double-helical elements and three loops (D, anti-codon, and T loops). Lineage: Eukaryota; Fungi; Ascomycota; Pichiomycetes; Serinales; Metschnikowiaceae. The record is from Rfam by way of RNAcentral.